Molecule: long non-coding RNA, 452 nt
Filed under: Solanum tuberosum (potato)
Lineage: Eukaryota; Viridiplantae; Streptophyta; Magnoliopsida; Solanales; Solanaceae
Description: long non-coding RNA (STUB_LNC003102)
Source: RNAcentral
GUCAUAUGGGAUGGUCACACAGGUAGCAUUGGCCGCACUGCAAGCCAGGCAAUGUCUCAGAACAAUGCAGAGGAUCAGAAUGAUGCUGCAAAUGAUGUAAGAAACCUUCCUGGUCCACAGGCUCCUCCACCUCCCAGACCCGGUCUUCCUUCUGUUAGGCCACUACCUCCACCUCCUGGGCUUGCGCUGAAUAUUCCUAGGCCUCCUAAUACAUUCCAGUAUUCCACACCAACCAUUGCUGGUGCUGCUCCGCCUCCACCUCAACCUCCUAUGGUUAACAUGAUUCCUCAGGUUCGGCCCCCACCUCCUCCCAUGCUACAACUACAAGGUCAGCAAAACCUCAUGGUCAAUCGUCCCCCAAUGCCUCCAUCAAUGGCUAUGAGUUCGCAUACCCUUCCUAUUCCACCACCUCCUGGAUCACAGUUUACACCUAUGGGAGCACCUCGGCCCUU